UCCAUGGUACCAUUUUUAAAAAUCUCUUCUAUCCCUGUUUAUGAACAUUACCGAUUUACCGUGACUUUUAUUAGUAAUUUACUUUAAAGUUUAUGCGUUGAACAACGUUUUUUAAAAAUACUCGGAAACUUCGGGGACUUCUUUGCUAGAGAGCGGAGAGAAUCUCGAUCCCGAUUUCAAAUCGGAAACAAAGAUGGAGGACUGGAGCGUGGUGGAGGUGUGCUCGUCAGCCUCGUGGUUGAGAGCAAAUGCUCUACAUGCAUACGUAGACACAUUCAAAGAAGACUUCUGAAUUUUGCAAAAGAAGAGGCUGUCAAUCGACUUCAAAAAGUGCCAUACUCAAUAGACACUAUAGAUGGCCAUGUUCCACCAAAACCCUGUGAUUGGGUAUUCCCGGAAGAGUAUGAAGAUAAAUUCAAAAAAACUUUAAAGGUUGAUGAUGACCUAUAUAGGAAAGAAAACAACUUUCUAUUAAAACCAUAUGGUCCAAUCUGGGAAAAACUUGUUGACAUGUACCAAUUACAGCAAGAUGCUUCUAAAUCAGCAUACCACAUACACAGAUACUGUUCUGAAUUCUCUUUUCUGACACAUUAUAGCUUUGCUACAUAUCGUCCUGAUGAUAACUAGAGGAAUGGUCCUGUUCUUCGUCAUGAAAUUCAACCAAUAAUUGAUAUAUCUCGUUUGCCGGACUUUCAUUACUUACCAUAUGAAGAAGCAGUUCAACUUGUUGAAACAAUGAAGGAGACAGAGGGCUUUUUGCCAGAAUUUGUUUAGAUACCUGACUUUUUUCUGCCAUCAAGGAACAUAAAAUACAUCCUUGAGAAUAGCCCAGAGGAGCUACAAUCAGAUAUACAACCCAUCUCACAAUUAAUUGGUGUCUCUGAGGAGGAAAUAUAUGCAUAUGUUAAAAAACUUGAGGACAAAAAGAAAGCAAAAGAAGACCGGGAGAGGGUGAUGCAACAAUUUAAAGAUUCGCCUCUUUUAAAAUUGACUGUGAAAGAAAUGAAACAAUUGCUCACUGAUCAUUUUAAAUAUAGGUGUCAUUCCUCAUUAAAACUCAAGGCGGACUUUUUAGUAUUGUUACAAGAACUCUUUACCAAAAACAAAAUGGAUGAUUCAAGAAUCCAUAAAAUUGUGAAAGACUUUAAAGAUAAAAGUUAAUGACCUAAAGCUAUGGCAUAAUGUCAUCUUUUAUAAAAGUGCAAACUAUAUUUAAUGCUUACAUUAACUGAUUAUUUUGUUUUAAUCUUGAUAUAUAGUAUUUAUGUGUAAAACAUUUAAAAGACAUCUUCUUUAAUGCUAUUGAUACUAAAUUGAAGCCAAAUGGAUAUUUAGAAUGAGCAGGUAGCCCUUUACCAAAAUUGUAAAUUUGAUGAUCCCAGGGGUGGGGGUUUUGGUAUUAGGGUGGGGCCAAAAUGGUCAGUGAUUAAAUCUGUUAACAAUUGAACAUUUUUAACUUCUUCUUGAUAACUACACCAUUACAAUUCUUUUGAAAUUUGGUAUGAAGCAUCUUUGGGACAAGGCUGACAUAAAUUGUAAAUUUCAGGACUCCUGCACCCUUGGGGGCCUUAGAGGUGGGGCAAAAACUGUAAAAAUUGACCAAUUUUCAAAAAUCUUCUUCUCUAGAACCCCACAUGUAUAAGAAAAACUAAAUGCAUAGUGAUGUAGAGCAGGAAGGUCCUCUACCAAAAUUGUAAAUUUUAUGAUCCUCAGGGUAGAGGUUCUGACUCCAGGGUGGGGCCAAACUUGGUAUAUAUAGUGUAUAUGUUAAAUAAUAUCUUCUUUAAUGCUGUUGAUACUAAAAUGAAACUAAAUAGAUAUUUUGAAGGAGUAAGUAGUCCUUUACCAAAAUUGUAAAUUUCAUGAUCCUUGUGGGUAAGGGUUUGGUUCCAGGAUGGAGCCAAAAUUAUUAUAGUGAUUAUUGUCUUUAUCAUUUGAAAGACUUCUUGAAGUUUGCUGAUAUGGUAUAAAAACUAAAUGCAUAUGUAGGAAAAGCAGAAAAGGAUGUACCAAAAUUGUGAAUUUUGCAACCCCAGGGUUUUGACUCUAGGGCAGGUCAAAAUUAGUCAUUUUGCGUUGAUGUUACAUAUAUUAUGUAAUGCCUUUCAUCAGCAUAGGUUCUUUUGAGAGCAUAUAAGUUUAAAGAACACAUCUUGUUUUAUACAUGUACUUUUGCUGAAUAUUAGAAUUUAGCUUAGAUGUUCAGAACAGGAAAUUUUUAGCAGCCCUUGGGACUAGUGAUACUUUUAACUAAUACUCAGGUGACCGAUAAGGCCUGUAGGCCUCUUGUUUAGAACAAAGAUGGAUACUGUCCAGAGAGUGGCAACAAUAAAGACUAAACAUUUAGAAGUGUUGUUUUUUCUUUCUGAGUAGAAUAUUUGUUAACUAGCAAAGCAACAGAAAGGCUGUUUACUUGUAAAUAAAGCAAUGGAAAGGCAUUUGACAAUGAUCUUUAAAAUACAUUUAUUGUAUUAACUUGUGCACAUACACAGUGGCAUAUAUAGCAAUGGAAAACAGGGUACUGAAAUGCUUUUUGCAAGUUUUUCGUGAAUUAUGGUAGUUAUACACCCACUGCAUAAUCUGCAUUGGUGAAAAUGCAGUCUGGUGACAUUUUAUUGUGUUUAGAUAAAGAAAAAUAUCAGGAAACAAAAAGACAUGACUGCCUAGCAAGUUCUACAACUAAGCUUCAUUCAAAAAAUAUAUAAUUCAUUGUUAAUAUUUCAUCCUAAAUUUUAAAUCACUUCUAUCCCAGGUCCAAACUUUGAAGAAGAAAAAAUAUAUACAUGGUACCAUUUUCGAGAAAACGCUUCUAUGGGUGGUACCCCCUAAAAUAUCCUGGAGUCCUGGGGUAGGGUAGAUUUUUUACUGGAAUAGCCCUAAGUUUUUUUAUAUAAUUUAAAGUUCUUCUGCAAGAUGCAAAAUUAUGUGUAAUACAGAUUGGCUUUUUUUUUUCAGAAAUCUUCGACAUACAUGUAGGUAGAGGAUGCCGACAAGGUGAUCCAAUCUCUCCAUAUCGUUUUCUCAUUUGUGCUGAAAUAAUGGGUAUUAUUAAAGGAACAAUCUUUUAAUCAAGGGCAUUACUACAGUGAGUAAGGAAUUCAAACUGUUUCAAUAUGCUGAUGACACAAUAUUGCAAUUAGAUGGUUCCGAAAAUUCUGUAAAAUCUGCUCUCUCCGUUGUUGAUCAAUUUUCCAAGUUUUCUGGACUAAAGCCAAACUUUGAAGAAAAAAAAUGUGUUAAAAUUGGUUCAUUGUGGCAAUCAAAACUGUCAAUUAUCAAAUAAAUUCAGAAAUCUAAAUUGGUCCCAAAAACCCUUUACUGUUUUGGGGAUAACAUAUCAUGUAGACUAAGAAAGCAAUUCUAUGGUUGAACUAAACUUCACUCCUAAAAUUAAUGAAAUUAAAGCACUUGUGUGCUCAUGGUCACACAGAAUUAUAUCAACUGCAGGGCGGAUUACUGUAAUUAAAUAAUUCAUUUUUCCAAAAAUUACACACCUGUUGAUUAGUUUAACAACUCCCCCAGAAGAAAAGUUAAAAGAAAUCGAAAGUAUUUUUAUCAAUAUGUUUGGAAUUCAAAAACUCCCAAGAGUUGCCAAGGGUAAUUUUAUUCAAAGCUAUGGAAAUGGAGGCUUUCAAAAGAUAUGCCUUGAAACUUUCUCUAAAAGCUUGAAGAUUACAUGGGUGUGCCGUUUCUAUGACAAUGCACGUAUAUCUGGCUAGAAAUCCUUUAUCUAUAACUGAUACUUUACCUACAGUUUUGCAAGUAACACAAUUUCCAUAUGCAUUUUUGCAGAAACUAUUGAAAUCCUGUAAAAAUAGUUUUUGGCUUGGAGUUUUUUCAGCCUUUUUAGAAUUGAGAAAGUGCAUUGAAAAUCAAUGUAGCAUUGUGAGUCCUGUAUGGCUUAAUGAAUCAAUAUGUAUUAAUAAUAAAAAUGUCUUCUAUAAACAGUGGUUAGAAAAGGUGUAUGUUAAAUAUCAGAUUUUUACAAUGACAAUGGUGAAAUAAUGUUUUAUGAAGAGUUCUGUAAUCAAAACAAUAUUCAACCACGAUUUACAUUGUAUUAUGAAAUCAUAAAUAGAAUUUUGAAAAAAAUUAGAUUUGGAUACAAUUUAGAAAUUCAUUUCAAAAUUAAGGAUUAUAUCUCCCUCAUGCAUAGCUCUGAUCCAUUGACGAAUUUGGCUCAGGUUUUGGCACUCUAGUUUUCCUUUUAGCUCUUAAAAAUUUAUUUUUAUUUCGAAUUUCCAAAAUUUCGGCUUGAACAUUACUGAAGAAACAUUAUUUGUCGAAAUGCACAUCUGGUGCAUCAAAAUUGGUACCGUAUAAGUUUUAUAUUAUGACCCCUGGGUCGAGGCCUCUGCAGGUGGACUCUACAAUGGUCUCUACAGCCCAGUAGCUAAGUACUUCGUUACUAGCAUGAAAAUACGGAUGUAUAUUUAAUUGCUGGGAUAAAAUUUCGAAAUUCAUUUCAAAAUUAAGGAUUAUAUCUCCC
Molecule: long non-coding RNA, 4489 nt
Organism: Ostrea edulis (European flat oyster)
Lineage: Eukaryota; Metazoa; Mollusca; Bivalvia; Ostreida; Ostreidae
Exons: 2
Source: RefSeq, a predicted model, not a curated record